UUAAGUGAAUAAGGGCGUACGGUGGAUGCCUAGGCACUUGGAACUGAAGAAGGACGCAACAAACGGCGAAACGCGACGGGGAGUGGUACGUACACAAAGAUCCGUCGAUAUCCGAAUGGGGAAACCCGGCAGCAGUAAUGAGCUGUCACCCAUGAGUGAAUACAUAGCUCAUGAGGGAGGUACCCGGAGAACUGAAACAUCUAAGUAUCCGGAGGAAAAGAAAAUAAGAAUGAUUCCGUAAGUAGCGGCGAGCGAACGCGGAGGAGCCCAAACCAGAUCUUGAUCUGGGGUUGUAGGACCACGAAAUGGCAAGAGCAUGGCUAAGAGAACGGCAUUGAAAGGCCGACCGGAGAGGGUGCAAGUCCCGUAACUGAAAGUCUAGCGAAGCCUAGUGGUAUCCUGAGUACGGCGAGACACGAGAAAUCUUGUCGGAAGCAGGCGGGACCAUCCGUCAAGGCUAAAUAUACCCAAGUGACCGAUAGUGAACCAGUACCGUGAGGGAAAGGUGAAAAGAACCGCGGGAGCGGAGUGAAAUAGAACCUGAAACCGUAUGCUUACAAGAAGUCAGAGCCCGUUAAAGGGUGAUGGCGUGCCUUUUGUAGAAUGAACCGGCGAGUUACGUUAUCGUGCGAGGUUAAGUAGAAGAUACGGAGCCGAAGCGAAAGCGAGUCUUAAUAGGGCGACAGUACGAUGAUGUAGACCCGAAACCGUGUGAUCUAGCCAUGACCAGGUUGAAGUUCAGGUGAAACUGAAUGGAGGACCGAACCGACCCCCGUUGAAAAGUUGGCGGAUGAGUUGUGGCUAGGGGAGAAAUUCCAAUCGAACACGGAUAUAGCUGGUUCUCCCCGAAAUAGCUUUAGGGCUAGCGUCGAGGUAGAGUCGCAUGGAGGUAGAGCACUGAAUGUACGAUGGCCCCAUCCCGGGGUACUGAGUAUAAUCAAACUCCGAAUGCCAUGCAGACAUACUCGGCAGUCAGACUGUGGGUGAUAAGGUCCAUGGUCAAAAGGGAAACAGCCCAGACCGCCAGUUAAGGUCCCAAAAUGUAUGCUAAGUGGAAAAGGAUGUGGGGAUGCACAGACAACUAGGAGGUUGGCUCAGAAGCAGCCAUCCUUCAAAGAGUGCGUAACAGCUCACUAGUCGAGUGACCCUGCGCCGAAAAUGUACCGGGGCUAAGCAUACUACCGAAGCUGCGGAUUCAACUUCAGAGUUGAGUGGUAGGGGAGCGUUGCAUGCACGUAGAAGCCGUACCGUAAGGAGCGGUGGAGAGCAUGGAAGAGAGAAUGCCGGUGUGAGUAGCGAGAUGUAGGUGAGAAUCCUACACACCGAUAGCCCAAGGAUUCCAGGGGAAGGCUCGUCCGCCCUGGGUUAGUCGGGACCUAAGGCGAGGCCGAAAGGCGUAGUGGAUGGAAAACAGGCAGAUAUUCCUGUACCCGCGAUGGAAAUGAAGGAAUGACGGAGAAGGCUAGUGUGAGCCACUGAAUGGAUUGUGGUCAAAGCAUAUAGCAGGCUGACAGUGAAAUGCGUCAGCAGGAUGUAAGAUGUGAGAGGUAAGGGAACGUCCUUGGACAAGUACUGAAGCACAUGAUGCCAGCUUCCAAGAAAAGUUUCUAGUGAUAAUUCCAUAGCGGCCCGUACCAAAACCGACACAGGUGGGCAAGGAGAGAAUCCUGAGGUGAGCGAGAGAACUGUUGCCAAGGAACUCGGCAAAAUGACUCCGUAAGUUAGCGAUAAGGAGUGCUCUUGUAAAAGAGAGCCGCAGUGAAGAGGCCCAAGCGACUGUUUAACUAAAACACAGCUCUCUGCAAAGUCGCAAGACGAAGUAUAGGGGGUGACGCCUGCCCGGUGCUGGAAGGUUAAGAGGAUUUGUCAUCCGCAAGGAGAAGCAAUGAAUUGAAGCCCCAGUGAACGGCGGCCGUAACUAUAACGGUCCUAAGGUAGCGAAAUUCCUUGUCAG
This 1954-nucleotide ribosomal RNA is filed under the name human gut metagenome. Its description in RNAcentral is "bacterial LSU rRNA". It matches the Rfam family "Bacterial large subunit ribosomal RNA", at positions 1 to 1975 of the family's 2925-position model. The record is from RNAcentral.